This 253-nucleotide ribosomal RNA is filed under the name uncultured bacterium. RNAcentral's name for it is "partial 16S ribosomal RNA". It matches the Rfam family "Bacterial small subunit ribosomal RNA", at positions 524 to 776 of the family's 1533-position model. The record is from RNAcentral.
UACGGAGGGGGCUAGCGUUGUUCGGAAUUACUGGGCGUAAAGCGCGCGUAGGCGGACCUGCAAGUCGGGGGUGAAAGCCCGAGGCUCAACCUCGGAACUGCCUUCGAUACUGCGGGUCUCGAGUCCGGGAGAGGUGAGUGGAAUUCCUAGUGUAGAGGUGAAAUUCGUAGAUAUUAGGAAGAACACCAGUGGCGAAGGCGGCUCACUGGACUGGUAUUGACGCUGAGGUGCGAAAGCGUGGGGAGCAAACAGG